Molecule: long non-coding RNA, 2240 nt
Organism: Triticum aestivum (bread wheat)
Lineage: Eukaryota; Viridiplantae; Streptophyta; Magnoliopsida; Poales; Poaceae
Exons: 4
Source: RefSeq, a predicted model, not a curated record
CUAAUCCGAGCCUUCUCACACCCUCACUGAUUUCUGCCGUUGGAUCACGCAUCUCGACCAUCCUUGGCCGUCCAAGGCAUUGUUUUCUCCUGCACGGGCUAAUACUGGGCCGAAUGUCCUGGGGCAGCUACUCCCAAGGCCGAAUCGAAAGCCUCUCGUUCACUUACUAUGCCCAACGUCGGAUGCAGAAGGAACGAUAGUGAUUCUCUCUGUGUCCUCGUAGCCCCACCCGCUCCUCCGGCCCUCCCCGCACCCACCCCGCUCCACCCCUGACCCUCCAGGCGCGCCGCCACGGUCGUCGUCGCUGUAGAGAGAGGGAGCCGCUCAGAUCGCUCCCAGUCUAAGCCGAGCCUCCACAUCUCGCAUGAAGAAAGAGAUCUGUGCGUCACUUCCUCCAUCCUGUACAGGAAGAUGCUGUAUCCGACCAUGCCGUCGCCGGGCCCACGCAGGGAGAGGCGCCCUCAGAUUCUGCCGAGGGCGAAGGAGACCACAAGAGAAAGCUCGAGGAGGUUGACGCCGGCGCGAAGGUGAACGACGACGUGGAGGAUGCGUGGAAGGCAAUGGCGUGACUUAGUUUCUCCAACACCUUGCCCCUCUCUAUCCACGUGUGUGUUGUAUUGUACCUAGGGUUUAGUGUAUUAAGCAAUGAUUCUAGCGUGUCAAACAUGGUCGGCUUUGUGUUAAGCUUGGAUUGGAAUCCAUCUGAUCCGUUCAUUAUCUCUAUUGGGAUCAGACGUCAUUCAAAACAGUGAGUCCUCUGAGAAGCCUGAGGAGCCAUGACUAAAUUACCGCUACAACAGCAAAAAUUUGCUGCAACCGGUGACUUGCAGGAGACUACCCACGUAAUUGAUGUGCACAAUACAAAGGUUGAUGUUCUAAUAUGAAAAGCAGGUGAAACGAUCAGAAACCUGUAAAUGAGCAAAGGCGCGAAAGAUUCAAAUUACAAUGGAUGCAGAUGUUCCUUCAGAUGCCAUUACUCGUCCGAUUGAAUUGUUCGGAACACAUGUGAGUAUUGCCUAGGCUGCAGCGUAGCUUAUUAAGAGUGUUAUAACUGAUGUAUGCUAAAGGUUGAAGAUGGUGGUUCCCCUACCUUGAUGGACAAAGGUUUUGGGUCCACACAGUUAGGUUCAGAGCAGUUUCAGAGUGGAGGCUUGUUUCUUCUUCCUCAUCACACAUGUUUUGGGGCUCCCCUAACAUCAACCUCGACCUCAAGCAGUGGUGCCCCUCUCAUGGCCGGUUUAAGCAGCGUUCCAAGGCAGACUGCCAUCAGGAUGGACACCAUGCUUCUGCCCUACAUCCACCGCUGGCAUGUCGUCCCCUGUAGGUUCAAGUAGGGGCGAGAGGGACGACAUGGAGUAGCAGUGUAGCGCUCAUAUAUUGCCUAUGUCUUUCACUUUAUGAUUCCAAAUCAGAUUACCCUGUCAAGGUCAGUACUGCUCCUUUUUGCUGUUUCUUGUUAUCAAUAUUUUUGUGCCACUUCUAAAAUAUCAAAUUACCAAUCCUUCUCCAUACAUGUAGUCUUACAUUUCUAUGUCCUUAAAUAUUUGUUAUGAUUUGUUUAGUUCGUACAUAAAUAUUCAGAAAUAGUUCAAUGCGUAAUUCAUGAUUACAAUUUAUGCUAAUUAGGCUUUAGUUUGGUGCCACUUUGAUUCUUAGACUAAGUUUGGCUUGCCUAUGAUAUAACAAUAUCAUGUAGAGAUUUUGCUGAAUUUUAUGUGAAUAAUAUAGACAAAUGGAUAUCGGAUUUUUGGUGAAUAAUAUAAUAUAUACAAUCUGUUGACAUGUUUGGAAUUGUAAGAACAUUCAUCAUUUCUUAAGCACUGUUAAAAGAUCGCAGCAACAAAAUCUUCUCUUAAGCUAACAUGAUUUGCAUAAUAGAAUGUUUACUUUUGGGUUAAGGUACAAUUUUCCUACUGCUAGCCGAUUUUAGGUACAGAUUAUGAAUUUGAUUACCAAAUUUUGUUUUCUGGCUAUUAGCAACAACAUUUGUCAUCAUUAUUCAGUGUACAAAUUUUCAUGUGUUUUACAAAAAUCUCUGGCAGGAUGGAGAUCUGACAUCACUAAAGUUAUGAAAUUUCUAACAUUACCAAGCCAUAAACGAUGGUUGUAGUUUCCCUGUAUUUUAUGAGAUCACCAUGUACACCAGCCUCUUGUAAUUUGACAGAGACAAAAAAAAAAGUCAGACUUGACUUCUUCUGUUGCUAACAAAUAUAUGCAUGUAUAUGCAAAAUGAACUAUAA